RNAcentral lists this ribosomal RNA (694 nucleotides) under uncultured bacterium. Its description in RNAcentral is "bacterial SSU rRNA". It matches the Rfam family "Bacterial small subunit ribosomal RNA", at positions 32 to 715 of the family's 1533-position model. The record is from RNAcentral.
AACGCUAGCUACAGGCUUAACACAUGCAAGUCGAGGGGCAGCAUGGUCUUAGCUUGCUAAGGCCGAUGGCGACCGGCGCACGGGUGAGUAACACGUAUCUAACCUGCCGUCUACUCUUGGACAGCCUUCUGAAAGGAAGAUUAAUACAAGAUGGCAUCAUGAGUCCGCAUGUUCACAUGAUUAAAGGUAUUCCGGUAGACGAUGGGGAUGCGUUCCAUUAGAUAGUAGGCGGGGUAACGGCCCACCUAGUCUUCGAUGGAUAGGGGUUCUGAGAGGAAGGUCCCCCACAUUGGAACUGAGACACGGUCCAAACUCCUACGGGAGGCAGCAGUGAGGAAUAUUGGUCAAUGGGCGAGAGCCUGAACCAGCCAAGUAGCGUGAAGGAUGACUGCCCUAUGGGUUGUAAACUUCUUUUAUAAAGGAAUAAAGUCGGGUAUGGAUACCCGUUUGCAUGUACUUUAUGAAUAAGGAUCGGCUAACUCCGUGCCAGCAGCCGCGGUAAUACGGAGGAUCCGAGCGUUAUCCGGAUUUAUUGGGUUUAAAGGGAGCGUAGAUGGAUGUUUAAGUCAGUUGUGAAAGUUUGCGGCUCAACCGUAAAAUUGCAGUUGAUACUGGAUAUCUUGAGUGCAGUUGAGGCAGGCGGAAUUCGUGGUGUAGCGGUGAAAUGCUUAGAUAUCACGAAGAACUCCGAUUG